UGGGGAAUAUUGCACAAUGGAGGAAACUCUGAUGCAGCGAUGCCGCGUGAGGGAAGAAGGUUCUCGGAUUGUAAACCUCUGUCUUCAGGGACGAUAAUGACGGUACCUGAGGAGGAAGCUCCGGCUAACUACGUGCCAGCAGCCGCGGUAAUACGUAGGGAGCAAGCGUUGUCCGGAAUUACUGGGUGUAAAGGGAGUGUAGGCGGGAUGGUAAGUUAGGUGUGAAAACUAUGGGCUUAACCCAUAGACUGCACUUAAAACUGCUGUUCUUGAGUGAAGUAGAGGUUGGCGGAAUUCCCGGUGUAGCG
This 308-nucleotide ribosomal RNA is filed under the name uncultured Ruminococcus sp. RNAcentral describes it as "bacterial SSU rRNA". It matches the Rfam family "Bacterial small subunit ribosomal RNA", at positions 355 to 680 of the family's 1533-position model. Lineage: Bacteria; Bacillati; Bacillota; Clostridia; Eubacteriales; Oscillospiraceae. The record is from RNAcentral.